This 314-nucleotide unclassified non-coding RNA is filed under the name uncultured Tomentella. RNAcentral describes it as "sequence contains 5.8S rRNA gene". Lineage: Eukaryota; Fungi; Basidiomycota; Agaricomycetes; Thelephorales; Thelephoraceae. The record is from RNAcentral.
GAACGCACCUUGCGCCCUUUGGCUAUUCUGAAGGGCAUGCCUGUUUGAGUAUCAUGAACACCUCAACUCUCGUGGCCUGCCACGAUGAGCUUGGACUUUGGGGGUCUUGCCGGCCUAGCGUCGGCUCCUCUCAAAUGGAUCAGCUUGCCAGUGUUUGGUGGCGUCACGGGUGUGAUAACUAUCUACGCUUGUGGUUUUCUACCAUGUAACCUUCAGUGAUGGAGGUUCGCUGGGGCUCACAGAUGUCUCUCCUUGGGGAGGACAGCUUUUUGAACGUUUGAUCUCAAAUCAGGUAGGACUACCCGCUGAACUUA